GUCUACGGCCAUACCACCCUGAACGCGCCCGAUCUCGUCUGAUCUCGGAAGCUAAGUAGGGUCGGGCCUGGUUAGUACUUGGAUGGGAGACCAGGCUCGAGGGUCUGAGGAUGGGCC
Ribosomal RNA from Equus caballus (horse), 117 nucleotides. Lineage: Eukaryota; Metazoa; Chordata; Mammalia; Perissodactyla; Equidae. The record is from Ensembl.